GCCCUUUACAGGCCUGUAAGCGCCAUUGAUGUACAUGUAAGAGGGUAUUAAAGUUUCGCUAUUCAUGUCUUCUGUUGCGGAAGGAGUCUUUGGCAUAACACAGCAGUCACUCUGCUCCACAACCAAGGAAAUCACAUUCCUUCUCACAGACGACUCAAUUUCACACCCUCAGCUGGAUUAAGAGGACUCUCUGCUCCGGGCCUGCACAGGAAAAAAGGCCCCUGACCUUCACCGUGUACGACUCGGAUACUUCUCUGGCAAAAGGCGAGGCCGGGUUCUCUCUAAUGGGAGACGCUUGACCUUGUCAGGAACUAAGGGAGAGGUCAGGAGUGAGGCGGGCCGUAAUGGCCCCGAGAGAGAUGAGGCGCAGUCAAGAAACACCUGCAAUAAUGACGGGGAGCGCUGUAGCGUUCAGCACUGCAGCCCAGUGUGGCAUUUGGACACGUACACAAUAGCAUCCACUCCUCUGAAGUGUUGCUGA
This 481-nucleotide long non-coding RNA is filed under the name Oryzias javanicus (javanese ricefish). Its description in RNAcentral is "lncRNA (ENSOJAG00000017452.1)". The record is from RNAcentral. Lineage: Eukaryota; Metazoa; Chordata; Actinopteri; Beloniformes; Adrianichthyidae.